RNAcentral lists this ribosomal RNA (229 nucleotides) under uncultured bacterium. RNAcentral's name for it is "partial 16S ribosomal RNA". It matches the Rfam family "Bacterial small subunit ribosomal RNA", at positions 568 to 796 of the family's 1533-position model. The record is from RNAcentral.
UGCGUAGGCGGCGCUAUAAGUCAGAGGUGAAAGGCCACAGCUUAACUGUGGGACUGCCUUUGAUACUGUAGUGCUUGAAUUAGGUUGAGGUCGGCGGAAUGUGACAUGUAGCGGUGAAAUGAUUAGAUAUGUCAUAGAACACCAAUUGCGAAGGCAGCUGACUAGACCUUAAUUGACGCUGAGGCACGAAAGCGUGGGGAGCGAACAGGAUUAGAUACCCUGGUAGUCC